Long non-coding RNA from Phacochoerus africanus (Common warthog), 81 nucleotides. RefSeq lists it as uncharacterized. The record is from RefSeq and is a predicted model, not a curated record. The transcript has 3 exons. NCBI's taxonomy places the organism in Eukaryota, Metazoa, Chordata, Mammalia, Artiodactyla, Suidae.
GUUCACAGCUGACCAUGAGGUUCCCUGCCCAGCUCCUGGGGCUCCUCCUGCUCUGGGUCCCAGUCUUUCCUUUAGGAUUUG